AACCUCCGCAAUGUGAGAAAUCGCGACGGGGGGAUCCCAAGUGCCAUUCUUAACGGGAUGGCUUUUCAUUAGUGUAAAGAGCUUUUGGAAUAAGGGCUGGGCAAGACCGGUGCCAGCCGCCGCGGUAACACCGGCAGCUCUAGUGGUAGCAGUUUUUAUUGGGCCUAAAGCGUCCGUAGCCGGUUUAAUAAGUCUCUGGCGAAAUCCUGUAGCUUAACUGUGGGAAUUGCUGGAGAUACUAUUAGACUUGAGACCGGGAGAGGUUAGAGGUACUCCCAGGGUAGAGGUGAAAUUCUGUAAUCCUGGGAGGACCGCCUGUUGCGAAGGCGUCUAACUGGAACGGUUCUGACGGUGAGGGACGAAAGUUAGGGGCGCGAACCGGAUUAGAUACCCGGGUAGUCCUAACUGUAAACGAUGCGGACUUGGGGUUGGGGUGGCUUUGGGCUGCUCCAGUGCCGAAGGGAAGCUGUUAAGUCCGCCGCCUGGGAAGUACGGUCGCAAGACUGAAACUUAAAGGAAUU
Molecule: ribosomal RNA, 521 nt
Filed under: uncultured bacterium
Lineage: Bacteria
Description: bacterial SSU rRNA
Rfam family: Archaeal small subunit ribosomal RNA
Source: RNAcentral